UUUGUAAUCCAACUUAGCCGCGUAAGUCCUAGUUAGAGGGUAAUAUGUAAGAGGGAGGUUACGAAUGAUAGUCCUGUCUGUUUUUGUUGGUCCUACUUAUGUUUCUCGCGAGACUUGAUAACAAUACCGUACAGCAUAUCGUGUGGUUUACCAUAUUUAAUUCAAAAUUUGUUUUUCACUGCGUAUAUAUUUUAAACUAUCGUGGUCCUGUUUAUUUCCAUGUUAUAGAACCAGAAGUGCUGCUAGUGAGUGCUACUACGAUUCGUACAAAUAGUUAAUACAUCACCAUAUACUGCUAGUUACUAUAGGAAAACUAUGAUUGAGGAAACGAGAAGACUUUCAACUCCUCAUAUUGUACGUUAUAUCUGGAACGCAAUUAGCAUAAUCAAGAAACGAAAACAGAAACCAACUUGUACUCGAAUUUCAAGUAACGUUUCUCGUAAUCAUGAAAUUGAUUGUGAGAAGCUGUUCCAAGAACUGAAUUAUGCUGUGUCGGAUGACCUUGUUAUGCAGCAAUGUGUUGAAAUAGAAGGUGUCUCGGAACAUGCUUAUAAACUGACAAAUGGAAGCAUUAUUAAAUAAAUACUCAAAUAAGAAAUCGGUGACUACAGUUCUAAUACCACCAUCAGCAUUCUUGAUAAUCCAGAACCAUGAUGAUUUCACACGGUAACUGUCCAUUUUGAGACAGGUGUUGGAUACUUGUUCGUAGUAUACCUUCCAUGAAACUAACAGAUGAGCUCGUUGAUGCCCCCUGGUUUCUUGUCUAUGCCAAGACCUCAGUUGUACAACUAUCAGUAAUAAGACAGAUGGACUUGUAUAUUCUUGAGUGAGCUGUA
Molecule: long non-coding RNA, 836 nt
Organism: Limulus polyphemus (Atlantic horseshoe crab)
Lineage: Eukaryota; Metazoa; Arthropoda; Merostomata; Xiphosura; Limulidae
Exons: 3
Source: RefSeq, a predicted model, not a curated record